This 104-nucleotide microRNA precursor is filed under the name Podarcis lilfordi (Lilford's wall lizard). Lineage: Eukaryota; Metazoa; Chordata; Lepidosauria; Squamata; Lacertidae. The record is from RNAcentral.
CUUGGAAAACCUGCUCUUUAGUGCUGAAUUGGAGCAAACAUCCAUCUGUGAAAAACCCAGUUGAUGUCUGCUCCAAUUCAGCACUAAAGAGCAGGUUUUCCUGG